UGCCAUUGCUGUUAAAUUGAGGGGGUCUACAUAUUUGGGUUGCUGUCCACAAGAAAUACUGGUCAACACCCCAAAAAAUGGAGGAAAACAAGAGAUAACCAAGAGAAAAAAAAAAUUAAAAGCAAGAAGCAAAUACAUGUUUAACCAAAUAAACAUGAUCACAACUACUGCAAAUACCAGAUUAGUAAGCUAAGCAUAAGAAGCACGUGAUCAAGAAAUAGGAGAAAAUUUUAGUUAUAGGCUGAUGCCAAUUACGAACAACGAAAUUGCCACUGUUAAGAGUUAGACUGAUAAUGCUAACAGGUUAUGUACAUAGCAUCUAAUGCAACUUCUAGGAAGUAUAUAAUGAGAGUGGACGAGUAUCUCAGUAGUUAGUAACUAAUAAAUAAGUGAGGAAGAUACGUUUAAUCAAGCAGUCCACAGGUUACGAGAUUCAUGGUCACGAAAUCAUAUAGAUGCAGAAAUCGUACCAGCAAUCCAGCCUGUGCAAGAGUUGCAGUGAUGGGG
RNAcentral lists this unclassified non-coding RNA (507 nucleotides) under Hevea brasiliensis (rubber tree). Lineage: Eukaryota; Viridiplantae; Streptophyta; Magnoliopsida; Malpighiales; Euphorbiaceae. The record is from RNAcentral.